RNAcentral lists this non-coding RNA (920 nucleotides) under Narophis bimaculatus (black-naped burrowing snake). Lineage: Eukaryota; Metazoa; Chordata; Lepidosauria; Squamata; Elapidae. The record is from RNAcentral.
CAGAAGGUCUUGGUCUUAAACCUCUUAUUGUCUAAACUCCACACUUAUACAUGCAAGCCUCAACACGACAGUGAAACAGCCCACUUUAAAUCAACGAGGAGCCGAUAUCAGGCCAGCCGCCCACGACAUCAAGCAACCCAAGCCACACCCCCACGGGUCCACAGCAGUAGCUAACAUUGGGCCAUAAGCGCAAGCUUGACCCAGCUAACGGAGUCCUACAGGGCCGGUUAAUCUCGUGCCAGCGACCGCGGUUAUACGACAGGCCCAAGACAAUACUAUCGGCGUAAAGCACGACUAAAACUAUAGUUCACUCCAUUAGGGGUAAAGAAAGGCCGGGCUGUAAAAAGCCAUAAGCUACACUAAAAACAACCCCUAACACCAAACAACUUCAACUCGUGAAAGCCAGGACACAAACUAAGAUUAGAUACCUUACUAUGCCUGGCCAUAACAAAGCAGUCAAAUCACCAACUGCUCGCCAAAUAACUACGAGUAAAAACUUAAAAUUUAAAAGACUUGACGGUACUUCACACCAACCUAGAGGAGCCUGUCUAAUAACCGAUGACCCACGAUUAACCCAACCCACCCUAGCCCAACAGUCUAUAUACCGCCGUCGCCAGCCUACCUUAUGAAAGAACCAAAGUAGGCCCAACAACCCACAUUAACACGACAGGUCGAGGUGUAACCCAUGGGUGGGACCAAGAUGGGCUACAUUUUCUACUUCAGAAAAAACGAACAGACUAUGAAAUUAGAAACUGAAGGCGGAUUUAGCAGUAAGCUGGGGAUAGACAUACCCAGCCGAAACCAACGCAAUGAAGUGCGCACACACCGCCCGUCAUCCCUGUAAGACUCAUUAAUUAUUCAUAAACACCACUAUUACACCUAAAACAGGGCAAGUCGUAACAUGGUAAGCGUACUGGAAA